GGAUUGAACGCUGGCGGCAUGCCUAACACAUGCAAGUCGAACGGGAGUAGCAAUACUAUAGUGGCGGACGGGUGAGGAAUACGUAGGAAUUUGCCCUUAAGUGGGGGAUAACCCGGGGAAACCCGGAUUAAUACCGCAUGACCUCGAAAGAGCAAAGUGGGGGAUCGCAAGACCUCACGCUUUUGGAGAAGCCUACGUCGGAUUAGCUAGUUGGUGAGGUAAUGGCUCACCAAGGCGACGAUCCGUAACUGGUCUGAGAGGAUGCUCAGUCACACCGGAACUGAGACACGGUCCGGACUCUACGGGAGCAGCAGUGGGAUAUGACAUGGG
This 330-nucleotide ribosomal RNA is filed under the name uncultured soil bacterium. RNAcentral's name for it is "bacterial SSU rRNA". It matches the Rfam family "Bacterial small subunit ribosomal RNA", at positions 27 to 375 of the family's 1533-position model. The record is from RNAcentral.